UGAGGAAUAUUGCGCAAUGGGGGCAACCCUGACGCAGCGACGCCGCGUGAGUGAGGAAGGUUUUCGGACCGUAAAGCUCUGUCGAGCGGGAAGAAAUGUAUCGUGGCUAAUAUCCAUGAUAUUUGACGGUACCGCUAAAGGAAGCACCGGCUAACUCCGUGCCAGCAGCCGCGGUAAUACGGGGGGUGCAAGCGUUGUUCGGAAUUAUUUGGCGUAAAGCGCGUGUAGGCGGUUUGUUAAGUCUGAUGUGAAAGCCCCGGGCUCAACCUGGGAAGUGCAUUGGAAACUGGCAGACUUGAAUACGGGAGAGGGUAGUGGAAUUCCUGGUGUAGGAGUGAAAUCCGUAGAUAUCAGGAGGAACACCGGUGGCGAAGGCGACUUCCUGGCCCUAUACUGACGCUGAGACGCGAGAGCGUGGGUAGCAAACA
Molecule: ribosomal RNA, 428 nt
Filed under: uncultured prokaryote
Description: bacterial SSU rRNA
Rfam family: Bacterial small subunit ribosomal RNA
Source: RNAcentral